RNAcentral lists this ribosomal RNA (305 nucleotides) under uncultured bacterium. RNAcentral describes it as "partial 16S ribosomal RNA". It matches the Rfam family "Bacterial small subunit ribosomal RNA", at positions 505 to 807 of the family's 1533-position model. The record is from RNAcentral.
ACAGCAGCAGCCGCGGUAAUACAGAGGGUGCGAGCGUUAAUCGGAUUUACUGGGCGUAAAGCGUGCGUAGGCGGCUUUUUAAGUCGGAUGUGAAAUCCCUGAGCUUAACUUAGGAAUUGCAUUCGAUACUGGGAAGCUAGAGUAUGGGAGAGGAUGGUAGAAUUCCAGGUGUAGCGGUGAAAUGCGUAGAGAUCUGGAGGAAUACCGAUGGCGAAGGCAGCCAUCUGGCCUAAUACUGACGCUGAGGUACGAAAGCAUGGGGAGCAAACAGGAUUAGAUACCCGCGUAGUCCCUGUCUCUUAUAC